UGCAAGGGGCUGUUGCUCAGUGGGUAGAGCACUUGCCUUGCACGCAGAAGGUCCCGGAGGGGGUUCAAUUCUGGGUAGGGCUUGCAA
Molecule: non-coding RNA, 87 nt
Organism: Podarcis lilfordi (Lilford's wall lizard)
Lineage: Eukaryota; Metazoa; Chordata; Lepidosauria; Squamata; Lacertidae
Source: the annotation of a GenBank genome assembly